Molecule: non-coding RNA, 3908 nt
Filed under: Pan troglodytes (chimpanzee)
Lineage: Eukaryota; Metazoa; Chordata; Mammalia; Primates; Hominidae
Source: RNAcentral
CUUGCAAGGCUGUCUCUGGUUUCGUUUCACCACCCAGGAUAAACCUCAGCUUCAGUAACUCUCCUGCCGCUGCAGUCCUCCAGUCUUGGGGUGGUAGGGAACCCAAUUCCAACGCCUAGUGCUGGGGCACUCGCCAUACUCACUGCUCAAUUCUGGCUUUGUGGGCCAUUUCCUCCUCAGAGCAUGUGCUCCAAUCUCCAGCCAGCGACUAAAAUGCCUGCAGUGGCCCCUGCUGCCAGGUGGCCAGUGACUGACUUUGUAUAAGCCAGGGUUAAAGAUUGCGUCCUCAUCUCAGUCCCAAGUCCGGGAAAAUGGCUGCAGCUUUUCCUGGUGUCUCUCUGUCUCUUCGCCUCUCUCCAAGUUAUCUCCAGGGUUUGAGAGAAAUAAGUUAUUCUCCCUCGGCCUGGAUUGCACGGAUCCCUAGUGGAAAGGUGAGUCACAGAAACUGGCUCUCUGCCCCCUCACGUACUGGAGUGUCAGUUUUAUCAGCCAGAGACUAUCAUGGGGGCCACUUGUCCACCUCCUCCUCCUCGGGAUCUGGGGUGUCUUUUGCUAUUCCCGUGAAUUUCCGUGAUUUUUUAUUUUUUUUCUCACGGAGUGGAUCUUUAUGCAUUAUUUUGCUAUUUCCAAGUGGCUGAGGCACACCAUGUUGGGAAAAUUCCAUUAUCAAUUUAUGCCAUUAAUUCCUUCCAAGUUCUUUUGGUGUAUUUUGUUGUCUAUCUCUACUUGGAUGAGUUUGUCAUUAAAUCAUCAUUUUCAGUAUAUGAUUAAAGCAUAUAAACUAACACUUUAGUUGUAUCCUACCAAGUCUUACAUGCAGCUUCCAUUUAUUUAAAAAUUGUUGAUCUCUUACUAUGUGCCAGGCAUCCUUGUAGUUGUAUGGGAAAGAUAAAAAUUGCUGCCCUUAUGGAGUGGGAAGAUACAUUUUACAGUUAACAUGUGUACAUACAUGCACACAUACAUAUAUAGGGAUAGAUGCAAUGGGAAAAAGAGUAUAUUAAAAAGCAGUUGGAGUUUAAGGGGUACAGUUGCUAAAGUAACAAUAUUCACUGUCAUUUGAAGUAUUUUCCAAUUUUCAACAUGAUUUGACAUUUCUAGAAGUUAAUCCUUUCAAUCCAAGCAUAUGGACAUUUGGCAUGUCUUGGAUUAUCUACAUAAUUUUUAAAAAUUAAAAACAUCUAAAAACUGAUAUUUGUACAUAUUAGUGGGGUAGAUGUGGUAUUUUGUUACAUGCGUAGAACGUGUAAUGAUAAAGUCAGGAUACUUAGGGUAUCCAUCACCUUGAGUAUUUAUCAUUUGUGUUGGGUACAUGACCAGUUCUCUCUUCUAGUUACUUUGAAAUACAUUGUAAAGCAAAUGUAUACACUGUUAACUACAGUCACCAUCUCUAUUUCAUAGGUGAUUUCUAAUCUUGUCUUAUAAGGUGAUUUCUCUUGUCUGAAAAACUAUUACGGUCUUCAGUAUUAAGUUUUGCUUUGUGGUCUACUAUAAUGAAUUUUUGUGAAUAUGUUAUUCCAUGUGUAUUUGGAAAAGUUUUACCUAAUAGUCCAGUGACAAUUUAUUAUAUAAUUUCAUUAGAUCCAGCUUUUAAAUUUUGCUCCAUUCUUUUAUAUAUGUAUUCACCAUGCCCAGCUAAUUUUUAGAUUUUUUUGUGACAGGGUUUCACCAUGUUGCCCAGGCUGGUCUCAAACUGCUGGGCUCAAAUGAUGUGCCUGCUUCAGCCUCCCAAAGUGCUGGGAUUACAGACAUGAGACACUGCACAUGGCCUAUUACUAUUCUUAUGGGUUUCAGCUUCUCAUUGUGAAUUGCUUCAUAUAUUUUGAGGCUGUUUCAGAGCUGUUAUAAUCCUGGUGAAUUGCUCCAUUUAUCAUUGUUAAAAGCUUACUCUCUUUAUUCCCACACUCCCUUUAUUAUUUUACCUUAAAAUCAAUUUUAAGGUAAUUCCAAAGCAAAAUCAAUUUUAUCUGAUUGUCACUUCUUUUUUGAUAGAUUUUUAGUAUAUCUUUUCCAAUCUAUUUUUAACUAUUACAUCAUUAUGUUUAAGAAGUCUCUGUAAGCUUUUUUUUUUUUUUUUUUUUUUUUUUUUUUUUUUUUUUUUUUUUUUUUUUUUUUUUUUUUUUUUUUUGUGAUUCUCCUGCCUCAGCCUCCCGAGUAGCUGGGACUACAGGUACACGCCACCACGCCUGGCUAAUUUUUUUUUUUUGUAUUUUUUAGUAGAGACGGGGUUUUACCAUAUUGGCCAGGCUGGUCUUGAACUCCUGAUCUUGUUAUCCGUCCGCCUUGGCCUCCCAACGUGCUGGGAUUACAGGCGUGAGCCACCCGCUCCCCACCAAAGUGCUGGGAUUACAGGCAUAAGCCACGGCACCCCAUGCCCGGCCCACAUGUGGUCUUUAAACUUGCAAGUUUAUGGUACUUAUUGUAACUACUUAGAUAUUUGGAUUUGUUAUUUUGUGAUUUUUUUCUUCGCUUCUCUGUUGCCUUUAACAGGGUUCAUUUUAUUACAUGUUGUUUCUUCCUUAUUUAUCUAAAUUUAACCUGAUUUUUGCCUAAUACACAAAUACUUUCAGGUUUAUACUGCUUUAUCACCACAGCUGGACACAACUGGUUUCAUACUGCCUUCUGGCAAUUGCAAGAUGUCUGAACUCUCUUGAACGUAUUUCCUUACCUUUUAAAAUGGUAAAAUUUUGUGGAUAAAAUAUUGGGUACUUACUUACAAUCAGACAAUCACCUCUGAAAGGUUACAACUCUUACCUCAUUAAUCAGUAGGAACAGGGUUUUGAUUUAAAGCAAAACUCUAUCUCAUUCUUCCAAACUCAGGAGUUAGCAAAAUGGGAAUGAACUGCCAGUUAUUCAGCCUUCUAGACUUUAUUCGCAUUUGUUUAAAGUGCAUAGGCGUAUAAACACUUUUCUGGAUUGAGGAUCCAAAUCCUUCAAAUUUCCCAAGUUGUCCAACCACAAAAAAAUUAAGCACCAAAUGCUCCAGUCUAGACCGGGGACCUCAACCAUUUUCUUUUCCCAACAUGCUAAGCUAUUUGACACAUUUUUAUUAGGAACAGCAAUUCUCAAAACUGAGGAGCUAUUAUCAGAAUCACUGGGGCAGGAAGCGUCCAUUUGCCUGUUGAGAAUUUCUAAAGUCUUAAAAUUCAUUUAUUCCUGGGUUGUUCUCUAACAAUACUUCCAACAUUAGCAAAGUACUAUUAGUUUUCAGAAUCAAUAGUAUCUGAAGGUUUGAAAAAUUUCCCAGGUUACUUAAAAACCCUCAUUGCCAAGUAAAUUUUUAUAAAUGAACUUGAUGAUCUGUCCACAGACCAUCAUCAAAUCAAUAAAGUUCAAUAGGUGAAAAUUAAACCUCAGGUGUGCAAAAUUCAUGGUUCAAGGAGUAGGUAGACAUAUUUAUUAUAAUUACACGAUUGUUAACAAUGUGUACUGCCAUCCAAAAAUGAACUACAUUUAUUGCUACUUUGUUCACUAGCAUAAAGAUGCAAUUUACUUACAUAGAAAAUAUUUUAUAUGCUUUGAUACUGCCAUGUGUAAACAUUCUUAUGGAUAUGUUUGUGAACUAAAAUUGACAAAUAUAUAUUCCUAUGUUACCAACUUAAGAUCAUAAACCAUUCUCAUGUCUGCUCAUUAAAGCUAAAGGGUCUAUUACAUGUGAAUCUCAAUUAUUUUUAUAGAAACAUCACACUUGAUUACCAUUUUCUGCAUUUCAAUGGUUGCUGUUUGUAUUGAAAACAAACUGAGAAAUUGAGAAAUCAAAUGUAGUACCUCUCUUAAAAAGAGGAAUUGUUAACAAGUAGGAACUAAACUGCCAAAAGUUAUUUUCCAUAAUGACUAGAGUCAGUCAUCACAUACACAAAUUAUUAUUUAUUUAUUUAUUUUUUUCUUGAGAUGGAGUCUUGCUCUGUCAC